AUAUUCCAAUAUCCGAUUUCUAGAAAACCGGCAAAAUUCGUGAAUAUCCGCCCGAUAUUUUCGAUUUUUUCACCUAUGGCUAGAACAAUGUACAAUUAAACGGCCACACACGGAGCUCUGGAACUAGCACACCAGCUACACCGGGGUCACAUCAUUGUUGAAUCUAACUCCCUUUUUGUUGUAAAUACCCUAUCAAGUAACUGCCAUAUAGUUGGAAGUUCAGGACAUUAUUCAAGAUUCUAAAAAGCUAUGUACUGGAAAGAAGGCGAUUUUUGGACACACAUGGCAGAAGCAAAUCAAGCUGCCAAUCUACUUGCAAAACGGGCAUUCAAAGGAAAAGGAUCAGGGAAUUGGUUUUUGUCGAUCACCUGCCCCCACUUAGGCUAUGUGUUGUUCAUGGAUGGUCUAUGUACAUCUUUCCCCAGGGGUGGUUUCUAGUACUCAGUCAGAAUGCUAUGUAAAUAUCAUGUAUGUAGUCUGAAUAAAACUGUAAGGUCGUCAGGAGGUGUAUAUACAAUGGCAACAGCCUGACUGAUGUAAAAUGUUUCAGAAAUCUCUACCUUUUGUUUGAAAAAAAAAAAAGAUAUUUGUAAUUUCUGAACUACAUAUGUGAAUGAAUCAUUUACGA
Molecule: long non-coding RNA, 628 nt
Filed under: Aquilegia coerulea
Lineage: Eukaryota; Viridiplantae; Streptophyta; Magnoliopsida; Ranunculales; Ranunculaceae
Description: long non-coding RNA (ACOE_LNC000540)
Source: RNAcentral